GAAAUGCGAUAAGUAGUGUGAAUUGCAGAAUUCAGUGAAUCAUCGAAUCUUUGAACGCACAUUGCGCCCCUUGGUAUUCCAUGGGGCAUGCCUGUUCGAGCGUCAUUUGUACCUUCAAGCUUUGCUUGGUGUUGGGUGUUUGUCUCGCCUUUGCGUGUAGACUCGCCUUAAAACAAUUGGCAGCCGGCGUAUUGAUUUCGGAGCGCAGUACAUCUCGCGCUUUGCACUCAUAACGACGACGUCCAAAAGUACAUUUUUACACUCUUGACCUCGGAUCAGGUAGGGAUACCCGCUGAACUUAA
RNAcentral lists this unclassified non-coding RNA (302 nucleotides) under uncultured fungus. RNAcentral describes it as "sequence contains ITS1". The stretch from base 1 to 105 matches the Rfam family "5.8S ribosomal RNA", at positions 50 to 154 of the family's 154-position model. Lineage: Eukaryota; Fungi. The record is from RNAcentral.